Molecule: long non-coding RNA, 1043 nt
Filed under: Felis catus (domestic cat)
Lineage: Eukaryota; Metazoa; Chordata; Mammalia; Carnivora; Felidae
Description: lncRNA (ENSFCAG00000041394.2)
Source: RNAcentral
GAGAUUCACCUAACUUUAAAUGAUUUGGUGGGGCCAUUCUGAAUAGACAAUAACGAUUAGUCCUUUUUCUAAGGAGUAUCAUACAUUUCUAAGUGGAUUGUUUAUAUCUGAAUGUUUGUUGCUCAUCUCAAUUCACAUUAUAAGGUUAAGAUGUGGUUUUAUUUUAUGGUUUAAUUUAUGCUCACUUAUGCUAAUUGAGGCUUGGACUAGUAGUUUGUAAGGAGUAAACAGACUAUUUUUUUCAGAUAUUCAUAUUUUGAUCAUGGCUUAAUUGUACAAAUUGUCAUUUUUGAUAUUGCAUUGACCUUUUCCAAACAUAGCUAUUUUGUAUAAAGACUUACCUUUUUUUUAAAAAAAUCAUUUCUGCAUCUUCUUCUCUAUUUUCUUCAGUUGAGGUGUGGCUUAAACUACCUUUCAGUGGAAUAAAUACUGUGACCUCUCAGGUCAACUUCUAACUGGAGAGUCUGUUCUGUGAUCAUAUACCUCUGCUAUGAUUGGAAAGAGUGAGAUCUGUGUCAGUGACGGACUGUGUACCUUUUUCAAGGAGGAAGUAGAUUUUCAGGCUCUAUUAAAGAUGUUGUGCUUACCAUGUUUCUCAUCUCCUGUAUCCAUACCAGCAGUAGAAUUCCAGUCAUCAGACUCUUGAACCCACAGCUUCUGCCACAGCCACCGCCAAGGAGAUCCCCCUCAGAGCCCAGAAAACACACAUUCAUGAUGGCAUUGCCCAGGAACUAUGAAGUCUGUUUGGAUAUGAAGAACCUGAAACUUUUGUCUGCUCAGAUGGAAGCCAGGCUGGUGGCCACGUCAGGAAGAAUGCUUGAAAGCCUCGGAAUGUACAAAAUAAGGAUGGUGAUGAAAAGGGAAGGAUGAAAUAUUGCUUGGAGACUGUCAAGAUGAUGAUACAAUGACGGAGUAAGGAGGCUCAUCACAGUAUGCAAGAAGAGAAAGAAGAAAGUAAAUACUACGGUAAUGAAUUCUUUCCCUUUCCUGGUGGCAUUCCUAAAGAUGGAAAUCAAUAAAAGAAAAAAAUCUUUUUAAAACCA